Molecule: long non-coding RNA, 643 nt
Organism: Ictalurus punctatus (channel catfish)
Lineage: Eukaryota; Metazoa; Chordata; Actinopteri; Siluriformes; Ictaluridae
Exons: 3
Source: RefSeq, a predicted model, not a curated record
GCUGUGUGUUCCAGCCUGGAAUCUGGCUUCCCUGAGCUGGUGCCGUUCUUGAUCACUGCUGCUGCGCUGCUUCUCCUGCUCCAAUAGAAAGCACUCCCGUUCCUGCUGCCACUUCCUCUUCCUGUCUGACAGCAGCUGGUCUUGGAUCUCCUCCUCCAUGAUUGUCCUUGUCCGUUCCAUCUUUCUGCACUUGUAUUUCUCUUCUCUCCACUGCUGCUGAGACUGUGCAACCUCCUCCUUCAUCUCUACUCCAGAGAACUGAUCCGAGCACAGCGGCUCUGGUUGUCCUGCACGACGGCACUGAGCUCGGCUUGUAGCUCUGUCAACCUCUGCUGGAGACUGUCUACUUCCUGCUGCAGCGUACACACAUGAGAAGAGGAUGCGUCCAACUCUUCAGCCAAACGUACCUGAGAGGAGAAACAAAACUGCUCAGUUUCGAACAAAACUCGAUCUAGUACACCUACAGUGUAUGUGCAAUCAAGAAUUUUGACAUAUUUGCAUAUACUGAUUAAAUAACAAAUUGCUCAAGAACUCAUGCAAGUGUUCUACAAAUAUAUAUGUGCUUUGUCUAAGUGUUCACUGGCCCAACCACUACCUUCAGGUUUUCAUUACACACUCAGCAAAUGAGAGGAUUAGAGAUUAA